RNAcentral lists this ribosomal RNA (498 nucleotides) under uncultured bacterium. RNAcentral describes it as "partial 16S ribosomal RNA". It matches the Rfam family "Bacterial small subunit ribosomal RNA", at positions 28 to 507 of the family's 1533-position model. The record is from RNAcentral.
GACGAACGCUUUCUUCUUUCCUAAUACAUGCAAGUCGAACGAGAGCGACCGGUGCUUGCACUGGUCAAUCUAGUGGCGAACGGGUGAGUAACACGUGGGUAACCUGCCCAUCAGAGGGGGAUAACAUUCGGAAACGGAUGCUAAAACCGCAUAGGUCUUCGAACCGCAUGGUUUGAAGAGGAAAAGAGGCGCAAGCUUCUGCUGAUGGAUGGACCCGCGGUGCAUUAGCUAGUUGGUGAGGUAACGGCUCACCAAGGCCGUGAUGCAUAGCCGACCUGAGAGGGUGAUCGGCCACAUUGGGACUGAGACACGGCCCAAACUCCUACGGGAGGCAGCAGUAGGGAAUCUUCCGCAAUGGACGCAAGUCUGACGGAGCAACGCCGCGUGAGUGAAGAAGGUUUUCGGAUCGUAAAACUCUGUUGUUAGAGAAGAAUAAGUGCUAGAGUAACUGUUAGCGCCUUGACGGUAUCUAACCAGAAAGCCACGGCUAACUACGUG